Molecule: long non-coding RNA, 1587 nt
Organism: Rhineura floridana
Lineage: Eukaryota; Metazoa; Chordata; Lepidosauria; Squamata; Rhineuridae
Exons: 4
Source: RefSeq, a predicted model, not a curated record
CAUGUGCCUCACACUGAUUGGACCUCUGCGCAGACUGUCUCUUCCCUCGUGAUCUGUGUUAGGAGGCACGGUAGAAGAGAUGAAUAGGCAGGGGGAGCCUGCUAGCGUCUGAUUCUGAGAGGAAAAAAUGGACGCCGGAGGAAAAAGCCAGGGCAAGGACAACAACAGAGAAAGAAGGCUGCAGCAGAAUGGCAAAGAGCUGUGGAGAGCCAACUACAAGCAAGAUUUUGAUCCUUCUUCUGAUAACUCUUCUUCAGGCUGCAUGUUAAGCAAUCUGGGCCAAGGAUGGAAAGAGAAAACCCAGAGAUGAUUUUGGAACCCAAACGUCUGCAUUUUCUGAAGGAGUCUUUUCCAACAUGAAGGUUAAGCUGACAAGGCAUUGGUGUCCGGGGUGCUGGGGGCCUCCUGGCCCAACCAUAUAAACAGCUAUGUAGGAAGCUGCUGGAGAGCCUGAUGAGGGGCAGCUGCUCACAAGUACCUUAGAAAAAUGCUCUUAACCCCACUGCAGGAGAAAAAAUGAGAAGGCUGUUUCCACUUUUCUUUCCCUGGAUCUGGAUGAUUUCAGCUUCUUUAUCCUGAUUUUGAGAGUCCAAUCAUAGAGACUGUUAUACUGAGACUUCAGACCAGCAGCAGCAGCCUCCAACCUCCAGCCAAGGGCAGCUUUGGGACCUCGAAAUCAAGCUUAUCAAUUAUAUUUGAUGAAUGUGUCUGUACACUCAGAAGCAACACUUUGCUCAUGAGUUUAAACAACAACUUGAAAAAGAAUUCCCACAAACAGAAUUCCCACCUACAGCUUAUGUCCACUUCUUGCAGUUAAUCAGUGUAUGGCUUAAAAGACUUGCACGUUCAAAGAGUUUCUGGUCUAAGGUGUUAAAAUAUUUGUAUAGUUUCACCCUUGUACUCGAAUGAGCAGAAGUUGUAGAUGACAAGGUAAACAUUUUCUUUUGGUGGACAGUGGUGCAGACCUGACUAUGAUGUCUCCUGGGUGGCGUUUAUACAGUCCAAAUCCUAUAUCAAAAUCAUCUUCCAUUAUAGGAUUGUCUGGCAGGACUGAAUGAAGCUAGUGAAUGUUAUUUAUUUAUUUAUAUAAUUUCUAUACUUUCCCCCCAAAAAAUCUCUAAGUGGUUUACAACCCAUCUUAAAACAUCAAAUAGGCCAUUAGAAAUAUCAAAACAUCAAAUAGGCCAUUAGAAAUAUCAAAAUAAAACAUUACAAAUGAAAAUCAAAUACAAAAAUGAAGAUCCACAAUUAAAGCAGCAUAAUUGUCAGGAAAAUGAAAUAUUCUAUUAACUGUUGAAAAAUAAUUUACAAAUAAAAAUCAAAUACAAAAAUAAAGGGGGACUCACAGAUAAAGCAUCAUUAAAAUAACUGAGAUAGAACCUGCACCCACACUUUCCCUCCCCGUAAUAUUUCCCAAACACAUCCUUAGCACUCUUCUACAUACAAACCUCAUUCCCAAGCAUUCAUACCAACAACAUUGCUAAGAACAUAAAAACCAACAACAAAAAAUUCUAUAAAUACAUUCAAAGCAGGAGACCAUCUAGGGAGACAAUUGGACCCUUGGAUGAUAAGGGAGUCAAAGGUGUA